RNAcentral lists this ribosomal RNA (137 nucleotides) under uncultured eukaryote. Its description in RNAcentral is "partial 18S ribosomal RNA". It matches the Rfam family "Eukaryotic small subunit ribosomal RNA", at positions 1299 to 1458 of the family's 1831-position model. The record is from RNAcentral.
UGGUGGAGUGAUUUGUCUGGUUAAUUCCGAUAACGAACGAGACCUUAACCUGCUAACUAGAUAUGCUCAUUAUAUGGGUACAAUCUUCUUAGAGGGACUACGUCAUAAAAAAUACAUGGAAGUUUGAGGCAAUAACA